Long non-coding RNA from Crotalus tigris (Tiger rattlesnake), 2826 nucleotides. RefSeq lists it as uncharacterized. NCBI's taxonomy places the organism in Eukaryota, Metazoa, Chordata, Lepidosauria, Squamata, Viperidae. The transcript is spliced from 2 exons. The record is from RefSeq and is a predicted model, not a curated record.
UUGAAGACCCCGGCAGGCGGAUUUCGGGGACUUCCUUCGUGUGACGCUUUUAUGUGGCUGGAUCGGGGUCUGUGACUGAAUGCCACGAGUGAGGUUUAUAGAUCCAUCUUUUAUGCCCUGGUGUUGUAAAGAUUCACUGCAAAUUCCCGAAUUCUCAGUCAUUGUGGCCAGUGAAAACUAUGUGAGAUGUUUCCAGGGAAUGCUACAUUUACCCAUUUAGGAUGUGAACCAGGAGCCAAAGGAAGAAAUCACUUGUUAAUACUUUAGUAGUAUUAUGUAAAGAAAAAAUAAGAUGGGGGUUUAUUAAAUAUGGGGAGGAGAAAUGUUAAUAAUGAUAUUAAGUAUUGACUGAUUAACAUCAAUUAAUCAGUAAUAUCAGUCAAUUGAUCUUUAUAAUGAUCAUUAUUUCAACAUAAAAAUUGCAAAUAGUACAUGUUCUAUUGUGAGAAAACUGUGUUUUUGCAAAAUAGCAAACAAUUGUGUAUAAAACCAUGCUUUUGCCUACUUUGUUAUACGGACAUAUCAGGAGAAACUUACAUGUUAAAUAGGGAAGGUACUUAAGUAGUAUGUACAUGUCAUAAAAAAGAGAUGGAUUUAAUAUUGAAUAGAUGGUGAAUUAAUGUGAACUGAAUACAAAAAUGAAUGAUUAAUAUGGAAGUGUGUUGCAAAGGUUUGGCUAACUAGAGAGAAUAUAUGAAGACUGAAUUCCAAAAUAAAGAUAUAGGAAGGAUGAAUAGGUACAAAGCUUAAGGGUGACCUUGAGCCAGUCAUGUCAGACCUAGGAAACAGGCAAUGGCAAACUGCUUCUGAAAAACCUUGCCAAAAACUGCACACACACACACACACACACACACACAGUCUCUCCAAAAUACGCUACAUAAUACUACGAAAGAGAAUAAUUUUGUACAGCACCAGAAACUUGCAACCCAAGAGGAAUUUUGGUAUCAUAAGAGCCAGUGUGGUAUGGGUAAGUUGUUGAACUUCUAAUCUGCCCUUGGACAUGGAAGUUCAUUGGGGAUUCUGGGCUAGCCAUUCUCUGUCAACUCAAUGUACCACUCAGAUUUGCUAUUGUGGGGAAGAAUAGGAGGAGGAAACACCAGCAUAUUGCCUUGAGCUCCUGUACAAAUAAAAUAAAAGUUAAUAUUAUCUUCCCUUUCCACCAUUGCUUCUUGACCCUCACUCUACCCUUAUUGCCCUGAGAUGAAAAUAGAUAUAGCCACUGGCAGAAAUCUUUCUUCCCUUAGAUCUUCAGAAUAGUAUCUCUGUCAUGACUGGAUCUUAAUACUAAUAAUCCUGUGCCUCUUUGAUCCCAUUAACCACCUUCUUUAGUUCCUGAAACAGAUUAUUAUGCUUUUGUAAGUGGUGGAGCUGUUGGUUUUCCUUAUUUGUCACACUUUCGGUUUACAGCAGCUCUAGCAAGUUUGGUCUGUCUGGUGUGUAGCAAAGGUAUUUGAUUGCUAUCUUGUCAGUUUAAGCCAGUCUGUCAGGUGGACAACCAGUUUUUAUGUUUCUAGAAUUACAUAUUUGAACAGUAAUAUUACGUUACAAAGCUGUAUAUAUCUUCCCUAGUAUAAACUCCAAUGGGACUUACUUAAUAUUGAUUUAUUUAAUUUAUUUAUAUGGCUUCCUAUCUUGUAAAAGUGACUUUAGGCAGCUAAUAAUACAUUAAAAUCAAUUUUAAAAUAUUAACAAAGGUAAGCACCUACAGUGGUCACUGAGGGUAAAAGCCAAACAAAACUACAAAACCCUCUCAGUGGGUCAUGUAACAUUCCAAUCCCUAGGCCCUGGAGCACCCCCUUGCUUUACAAAAAGCUGGCAGAAUUAGGGCCAAUCUAAUUUCAUGGGGUGUGGUGUUUCAGAUAUGUUCCAACUUUAUAAACUUUAUCUAUUCCUUAAAUUAUUCAGUAAGUAUGUAUGGCUGCCCACCUACCAUUGGAACUCUGGUUGAUGAACAAACAAAUAAAAAAUCAAAAUCAACAAAAGGCACAUUACCCAAACUGUGGAAAUUCAAUGAAACUUAAGGCAAGAUACAUGCAUCCUCUAAGCUAAGGAAUCCUGAGUGACCUGUUGCAAAAUGUUUCCAUGAUACAUUUUGCUGAAAGUUGUUCAUUUCCAAAUGUGAAAUGGAUCUUCCAGCUCUGUAUGUAAUGAAGUCAUCCUUUACUUCAGACAUGUCAAACUCGCAACAUCACAUGAUAUUGCGCAAUGUAUCGGGACAGUUUUGCCAUUGCCGGCAGUUUGACACCCCUGCUUUACUUGAUUCUAAAUUGACUUGUUCACCAAUUUUCUCAGUAGUAUGUGGUUAACUUGUCUAUGUUAAUCAUUGAACCAUAUUUUUUGCAUCCCCAUAAGUUAUCCACACUGUCUAGAACAGUGGUUCUCAACCUUUCUAAUGCCACGACCCCAUAAUACAGUUCCCCAUGUUGUGGUGACCCCCAACCACUUAUACAUCACCGGGUGCCAGGGGCAUGGCCAAAGAAAAGGGGGAAAAAUGGCGGACAGCCUUGUUUGGCGACCCCCGUGAAAUGGUCGUUCGACCCCAAAUGGGGUCCCGACCCACAGGUUGAGAACCACUGGUCUAGAAGUACACAGAAAAGUAAUCUGAUGAGUGGCAGGCCAAUUUACUUCAAUAUGCUGUGGGAAAACAGGUACUGAGAGUUCAGCAAAAAUGUAUUUAUUUCUAAGUAGAAAUAUGUAUUAUCAUAUGCACUCUUAUAAACUGAAGUUCUACUUGCUAUGCAUCUGUUUCAAAAUACUAGCCAUUAUGAAUAACUCUUGAGUUCAAUUCCUUUCUCCCGGUGCAAAUAAAUGUAUUUUCUUGCUUUA